RNAcentral lists this ribosomal RNA (392 nucleotides) under uncultured bacterium. RNAcentral describes it as "partial 16S ribosomal RNA". It matches the Rfam family "Bacterial small subunit ribosomal RNA", at positions 523 to 918 of the family's 1533-position model. The record is from RNAcentral.
AUACGGAGGAUCCGAGCGUUAUCCGGAUUUAUUGGGUUUAAAGGGUGCGCAGGCGGCCAUUUAAGUCAGCGGUUAAAUCGUGGGGCUCAACCCCAUUCUGCCGUUGAUACUGGGUGGCUUGAUUGCGGUCGAGGUUGGCGGAAUUCGUUGUGUAGCGGUGAAAUGCAUAGAUAUGACGAAGAACACCGAUUGCGUAGGCAGGUGACCAGACCUGAAAUGACGCUCAUGCACGAAAGUGCGGGGAUCGAACAGGAUUAGAUACCCUGGUAGUCCGCACAGUAAACGAUGAAUACUUGUUUUCGGCGAUAUAAUGUCGGAGGGAAAGCGAAAGCGAUAAGUAUUCCACCUGGGGAGUACGCCGGCAACGGUGAAACUCAAAGGAAUUGACGGGG